Molecule: ribosomal RNA, 472 nt
Filed under: uncultured bacterium
Lineage: Bacteria
Description: bacterial SSU rRNA
Rfam family: Bacterial small subunit ribosomal RNA
Source: RNAcentral
GCGAAGACUCCUACGGGAGGCAGCAGUGGGGAAUAUUGCACAAUGGGCGCAAGCCUGAUGCAGCCAUGCCGCGUGUGUGAAGAAGGCCUUCGGGUUGUAAAGCACUUUCAGCAGUGAGGAAGGCGGAGUCGUUAAUAGCGGCCUCGUUUGACGUUAGCUGCAGAAGAAGCACCGGCUAACUCCGUACCAGCAGCCGCGGUAAUACGGAGGGUGCGAGCGUUAAUCGGUAAUUACUGGGCGUAAAGCGCAUGCAGGUGGUUUGUUAAGUCAGAUGUGAAAGCCCGGGGCUCAACCUCGGAAUAGCAUUUGAAACUGGCAGACUAGAGUACUGUAGAGGGGGUAGAAUUUCAGGUGUAGCGGUGAAAUGCGUAGAGAUCUGAAGGAAUACCGGUGGCGAAGGCGGCCCCCUGGACAGAUACUGACACUCAGAUGCGAAAGCGUGGGGAGCAAACAGGAUUAGAUACCCUGGUAG